Molecule: long non-coding RNA, 1872 nt
Organism: Oncorhynchus keta (chum salmon)
Lineage: Eukaryota; Metazoa; Chordata; Actinopteri; Salmoniformes; Salmonidae
Exons: 3
Source: RefSeq, a predicted model, not a curated record
GGUGGGUGUUGGGCAGAACCCCUAGGUCCUGGAGAACGGGUAACGGAGGACAUCAGGUGGGUGUUGGGCAGAACCCCUAGGUCCUGGAGAACGGGUAACGGAGGACAUCAGGUGGAUCUGGGUGUUGGGCAGAACCCCUAGGUCCUGGAGAACAUCAGUUGGGUCUGGGUGUUGGGCAGAACCCCUAGGUCCUGGAGAACAUCAGUUGGGUCUGGGUGUUGGGCAGAACCCCCUAGGUCCUGGAGAACAUCAGUUGGGUCUGGGUGUUGGGCAGUACCCCUAGGUCCUGGAGAACAUCAGUUGGGUCUGGGUGUUGGGCAGAACCCCCUAGGUCCUGGAGAACAUCAGUUGGGUCUGGGUGUUGGGCAGUACCCCUAGGUCCUGGAGAACAUCAGUUGGGUCUGGGUGUUGGGCAGAACCCCUAGGUCCUGGAGAACAUCAGUUGGGUCUGGGUGUUGGGCAGAACCCCUAGGUCCUGGAGAACAUCAGUUGGGUCUGGGUGUUGGGCAGAACCCCCUAGGUCCUGGAGAACAUCAGUUGGAUCUGGGUGUUGGGCAGUACCCCUAGGUCCUGGAGAACAUCAGUUGGGUCUGGGUGUUGGGCAGUACCCCUAGGUCCUGGAGAACAUCAGUUGGGUCUGGGUGUUGGGCAGAACCCCUAGGUCCUGGAGAACAUCAGUUGGAUCUGGGUGUUACAUGUAAGGAAAGGAAUCUGCUAGUCCGUAGUGAGUAAUCGCAGUCCUGUUUUCCAGAAGUUAUUUUAGGUCAUAGGAGAUGGUAGCGGCAACAUUAUGUACAAAACAAGUUUAAAAAAAAUACAUUUCAAACAACGCAAAUAAACAAUCAACUGGGGGCAUGUAAAACGUCUGCCAUCUUCUUCGGGGCCAUCUUACAGUAACUUUUUGUUCAGCACUUUUGAAAUGUACAGCGACAGAAUUCAGAACAUGGGCCUUUUUUACAGUAUUCUCUCUGUACACAGUCAGAACCGUAGGAUUAAUAAAGGGGCAUAAAAGCAGACAUUUAAAGCUCUUACAAUAUUCAAUAAUUACAUUUCUCUAUAACAGGCUAUAGAGUUAUGUUCUGACAUGUGCACCACAAGUUACACAAUUUACGCAGCAGCAUACAAGAUAUUUUUGGAUUCAUUCAUUUUGUCAUCAAAGUCCGGCAUUCUCUGGAUUUAUGGUGCUUUCAAGACAACUGGGAACUCGGCAAAAAACAAGGUUAAAUGAUGUCAGUGAUCUUCAGAUCGGAGCUCUGGAAAGAGGCCUGAGUUCCCGACAAGGUUAAAUGAUGUCAGUGAUCUUCAGAUCGGAGCUCUAGAAAGAGGCCUGAGUUCCCGACAUGGUUAAAUGAUGUCAGUGAUCUUCAGAUCGGAGCUCUAGAAAGAGGCCUGAGUUCCCGACAUGGUUAAAUGAUGUCAGUGAUCUUCAGAUCGGAGCUCUAGAAAGAGGCCUGAGUUCCCGACAUGGUUAAAUGAUGUCAGUGAUCUUCAGAUCGGAGCUCUAGAAAGAGGCCUGAGUUCCCGACUUCCGAGUUAUAUGACCAUUUGAAAGGUAUUUUCCCAGUUCCGAGUUUCCUGUUGUUUUGAGCACGGCAGAAGUCAUGCUGGAUUGACAGCAUGGCCAAUGUUGAAUAUUUAUCUGUUUAAGCUUGGAAAAGAAACCAUUAAACCCAGACUUGGGACCACGCACCCACUCCACUGAAAAGCAGGCUAGUGAUUGCUUUGCAAUGCUUGGAGUUAGUCACUGAUUCCUUCCAAACCACUCAUUGUUGAAUAUGCGUUUGCAAUUUGUGUAAUGUUUAUGGCCGAUGAGCUCAAGUUUUAUCUAUAACUUCUCUUCAUAUGACAAGGAUUAAAAAGGAUUUCCCAGUA